This 540-nucleotide ribosomal RNA is filed under the name uncultured Geobacteraceae bacterium. RNAcentral's name for it is "bacterial SSU rRNA". It matches the Rfam family "Bacterial small subunit ribosomal RNA", at positions 9 to 526 of the family's 1533-position model. The record is from RNAcentral. Lineage: Bacteria; Pseudomonadati; Thermodesulfobacteriota; Desulfuromonadia; Geobacterales; Geobacteraceae.
GAGUUUGAUCCUGGCUCAGAACGAACGCUGGCGGCGUGCCUAACACAUGCAAGUCGAACGUGAUCCAGAGCUUGCUCUGGUGAAAGUGGCGCACGGGUGAGUAACGCGUGGAUAACCUACCCUGGUAUCCGGGAUAACAUUCCGAAAGGGGUGCUAAUACCGGAUAAGCCCACGGGCUCUUUGGAGCUUGCGGGAAAAGGUGGCCUCUAUUUAUAAGCUACUGUAUCAGGAUGGGUCCGCGUACCAUUAGCUAGUUGGCGGUGUAACGGACCACCAAGGCGACGAUGGUUAGCUGGUCUGAGAGGAUGAUCAGCCACACUGGAACUGAGACACGGUCCAGACUCCUACGGGAGGCAGCAGUGGGGAAUUUUGCGCAAUGGGGGAAACCCUGACGCAGCAACGCCGCGUGAGUGAUGAAGGCCUUUGGGUCGUAAAGCUCUGUCAGAGGGGAAGAAAUGAUAUAGUGCUAAUACCACUUUAUCUUGACGGUACCCUCAAAGGAAGCACCGGCUAACCCCGUGCCAGCAGCCGCGGUAAUAC